This 447-nucleotide ribosomal RNA is filed under the name uncultured bacterium. Its description in RNAcentral is "bacterial SSU rRNA". It matches the Rfam family "Bacterial small subunit ribosomal RNA", at positions 329 to 793 of the family's 1533-position model. The record is from RNAcentral.
CACCAGACUCCUACGGGAGGCAGCAGUGGGGAAUAUUGCACAAUGGGGGAAACCCUGAUGCAGCGACGCCGCGUGAGUGAAGAAGUAAUUCGUUAUGUAAAGCUCUAUCAGCAGGGAAGAAAAUGACGGUACCUGAGUAAGAAGCCCCGGCUAACUACGUGCCAGCAGCCGCGGUAAUACGUAGGGGGCAAGCGUUAUCCGGAUUUACUGGGUGUAAAGGGAGCGUAGACGGCGAUGCAAGUCUGAAGUGAAAGCCCGGGGCUCAACCCCGGGACUGCUUUGGAAACUGUAUGGCUGGAGUACUGGAGAGGCAAGCGGAAUUCCUAGUGUAGCGGUGAAAUGCGUAGAUAUUAGGAGGAACACCAGUGGCGAAGGCGGCUUACUGGACUGUAACUGACGUUGAGGCUCGAAAGCGUGGGGAGCAAACAGGAUUAGAUACCCGGGUAC